CAGUAGCCGCGGGAAUACGAAGGGGGCUAGCGUUGUUCGGAUUUACUGGGCGUAAAGCGCACGUAGGCGGACUUUUAAGUCAGGGGUGAAAUCCCGGGGCUCAACCCCGGAACUGCCUUUGAUACUGGGAGUCUUGAGUUCGAGAGAGGUGAGUGGAAUUGCGAGUGUAGAGGUGAAAUUCGUAGAUAUUCGCAGGAACACCAGUGGCGAAGGCGGCUCACUGGCUCGAUACUGACGCUGAGGCACGAAAGCGUGGGGAGCAAACAGGAUUAGAUACCCCAGUAGUCCCUGUCUCUUAUAC
RNAcentral lists this ribosomal RNA (301 nucleotides) under uncultured bacterium. RNAcentral's name for it is "partial 16S ribosomal RNA". It matches the Rfam family "Bacterial small subunit ribosomal RNA", at positions 509 to 807 of the family's 1533-position model. The record is from RNAcentral.